CAAAAACAUCGCCUCCCCGCAAACACCGAAGUAUAGGAAGCCCUACCCUGCCCAGUGAUUAUUAUUUAACGGCCGCGGUAUCCUGACCGUGCUAAGGUAGCGAAAUCACUUGUCUUUUAAAUGAAGACCUGUAUGAAUGGUGGAACGAGGGCUUAACUAUAUACUUUUUCAGGUCAGUGAAAUUGAUCUGCCCGUGCAGAAGCGGACAUAUACAUACAAGACGAGAAGACCCUUUGGAGCUUAAGACUUAAAAGUCAACUGCGUUAAGAAUUUUAAUAAAAAAAUUAAAAUUAACCACCACUGACUCUGCGCCUUCGGUUGGGGCGACCGCGGGGGAAACAAAGCCCCCACGCAGAAUGGGACAACCCUUAAACUAAGAGAGACAUCUCUAAGUCACAGAACCUCUGACUUAAUGAUCCGGCACAAACCGAUCAACGAACCAAGUUACCCUAGGGAUAACAGCGCAAUCCCCUUCAAGAGCCCGUAUCAACAAGGGGGUUUACGACCUCGAUGUUGGAUCAGGACAUCCCUAAUGGUGCAGCCGCUAUUAAGGGUUCGUUUGGUCAACGAUUAAAGUCCUACGUGAUCUGAG
This 592-nucleotide ribosomal RNA is filed under the name Salminus hilarii. Its description in RNAcentral is "partial 16S ribosomal RNA". It matches the Rfam family "Bacterial large subunit ribosomal RNA", at positions 1808 to 2609 of the family's 2925-position model. Lineage: Eukaryota; Metazoa; Chordata; Actinopteri; Characiformes; Bryconidae. The record is from RNAcentral.